GGGAGCUUGCUCCGCUGACGAGUGGCGAACGGGUGAGUAAUGCAUCGGAACGUACCCAGUCGUGGGGGAUAACGUAGCGAAAGUUACGCUAAUACCGCAUACGUCCUGAGGGAGAAAGCGGGGGACCGAAAGGCCUCGCGCGAUUGGAGCGGCCGAUGUCGGAUUAGCUAGUUGGUGGGGUAAAGGCCUACCAAGGCGACGAUCCGUAGCGGGUCUGAGAGGAUGAUCCGCCACACUGGGACUGAGACACGGCCCAGACUCCUACGGGAGGCAGCAGUGGGGAAUUUUGGACAAUGGGGGCAACCCUGAUCCAGCCAUGCCGCGUGAGUGAAGAAGGCCUUCGGGUUGUAAAGCUCUUUCAGACGGAAAGAAAACGCAUCGGUGAAUACCCGAUGUGGAUGACGGUACCGUAAGAAGAAGCACCGGCUAACUACGUGCCAGCAGCCGCGGUAAUACGUAGGGUGCGAGCGUUAAUCGGAAUUACUGGGCGUAAAGCGUGCGCAAGCGGUUAUGUAAGACAGAUGUGAAAUCCCCGGGCUC
RNAcentral lists this ribosomal RNA (540 nucleotides) under uncultured bacterium. RNAcentral describes it as "bacterial SSU rRNA". It matches the Rfam family "Bacterial small subunit ribosomal RNA", at positions 74 to 610 of the family's 1533-position model. The record is from RNAcentral.